UAGGGAAUUUUGCGCAAUGGGCGAAAGCCUGACGCAGCGACGCCGCGUGAGGGAAGACGGCCUUCGGGUUGUAAACCUCUGUCCAUGGGGAAGAUGGUGACGGUACCCGUGGAGGAAGCCCCGGCUAACUACGUGCCAGCAGCCGCGGUAAUACGUAGGGGGCGAGCGUUGUCCGGAAUUAUUGGGCGUAAAGGGUGCGUAGGCGGCAUGCAAAGUCACCUGUGAAAAACCUCGGCUUAACCGGGGGCUUGCAGGUGAAACUAGUAUGCUUGAGUGCAGGAGAGGAGAACGGAAUUCCUGGUGUAGCGGUGAAAUGCGUAGAUAUCAGGAGGAACACCAGUGGCGAAGGCGGUUCUCUGGACUGUAACUGACGCUGAGGCACGAAAGCUGGGGGAGCAAACAGG
Molecule: ribosomal RNA, 404 nt
Filed under: uncultured bacterium
Lineage: Bacteria
Description: bacterial SSU rRNA
Rfam family: Bacterial small subunit ribosomal RNA
Source: RNAcentral